GGGGAAUUUUCCGCAAUGGGCGAAAGCCUGACGGAGCAAGACCGCGUGAGGGAGGAAGGCUCUUGGGUUGUAAACCUCUUUUCUCAGGGAAGAAGCUCUGACGGUACCUGAGGAAUCAGCCUCGGCUAACUCCGUGCCAGCAGCCGCGGUAAUACGGAGGAGGCAAGCGUUAUCCGGAAUUAUUGGGCGUAAAGCGUCCGCAGGUGGCGAUUCAAGUCUGCUGUCAAAGCACGGGGCUUAACUCCGUUAAGGCAGUGGAAACUGAAUAGCUAGAGUGCCGUAGGGGUAGAGGGAAUUCCCGGUGUAGCGGUGAAAUGCGUAGAGAUCGGGAAGAACAUCGGUGGCGAAAGCGCUCUACUGGACGGCAACUGACACUCAGACGACGUAAAGGCUAGGGGAGCGAAUGGGAUUAGAUACCCCAGUAGUC
Molecule: ribosomal RNA, 427 nt
Filed under: uncultured cyanobacterium
Lineage: Bacteria; Bacillati; Cyanobacteriota
Description: bacterial SSU rRNA
Rfam family: Bacterial small subunit ribosomal RNA
Source: RNAcentral